GACGAACGCUGGCGGCGUGCCUAAUACAUGCAAGUAGAACGCUGAAGGAGGAGCUUGCUCUUCUGGAUGAGUUGCGAACGGAUGAGUAACGCGUAGGUAACCUGCCUGGUAGCGGGGGAUAACUAUUGGAAACGAUAGCUAAUACCGCAUAACAGUAGAUGUUGCAUGACAUUUACUUAAAAGGUGCAAUUGCAUCACUACCAGAUGGACCUGCGUUGUAUUAGCUAGUUGGUGGGGUAACGGCUCACCAAGGCGACGAUACAUAGCCGACCUGAGAGGGGGAUCGGCCAAACUGGGACUGAGACACGGCCCAGACUCCUACGGGAGGCAGCAGGAGGGAAUCUUCGGCAAUGGACGGAAGGCUGAACGAGGAACGCCGCGGGAGUGAAGAAGGGUUUCGGAUCGUAAAGCUCUGUUGUAAGAGAAGAAAGAGUGUGAGAGUGGAAAGUUCACACUGUGACGGUAUCUUACCAGAAAGGGACGGCUAACUACGUG
Molecule: ribosomal RNA, 495 nt
Filed under: uncultured bacterium
Lineage: Bacteria
Description: partial 16S ribosomal RNA
Rfam family: Bacterial small subunit ribosomal RNA
Source: RNAcentral